GACGAACGCUGGCGGCGUGCUUAACACAUGCAAGUCUAACGGAAAGUCCCUUCUUUUGUGGGGUGCUCGAGUGGCGAACGGAUGAGUAACACGUGAGUAACCUGCCCUUGACUUUGGGCUACCGUCAGUACACUGGGGGUAAUACCGGAUAGGAGCUCCUGCUGCCUGGUGGGGGUUUGAGUGUUUCGGGCGUGGGGGAGGGGCUCGCGGCUUAUCAGCUUGUUGUUGGGGUAGUGGCUUACCAAGUCUUUGACGGGUAGCCGGCCUGAGAGGGUGACCGGCCACAUUGGGACGGAGGUGAGGCCGAGAAGCCUACGGGAGGCAGCAGUGGGGAAUAAUGCACCAUGGGCGGAAGCCGGAUGCAGCAACGCCGCGUGCGGGAUGACGGACUUCGGGUUGUAGUCCGCUGUCGCCUGUGAAGAAGAGUGAGUGACGGUAAUGGGUAAAGAAGCACCGGCUAACUACGUG
RNAcentral lists this ribosomal RNA (468 nucleotides) under uncultured bacterium. Its description in RNAcentral is "partial 16S ribosomal RNA". It matches the Rfam family "Bacterial small subunit ribosomal RNA", at positions 28 to 507 of the family's 1533-position model. The record is from RNAcentral.